AUGCAGCAUGCAGGAGGAAAUCCAGAAAGAAGCCAAAGGCAUCAGGAGAGCUCGCCCCAGCAAGAAGGAUCUUCUGUGGGCAGAAGUCCAGAUCAUCAGGCAAAAUUGGUAAGACUGAGCAUGGCAUUGAUUAGUUGCCCUUGGCACUCCUUCAUCGCAUACCUAGAGUUGGAAAUAUGGUGAUUCUAACUUGUUUCAAUUAAUAAUCAU
Molecule: long non-coding RNA, 210 nt
Filed under: Pogona vitticeps (central bearded dragon)
Lineage: Eukaryota; Metazoa; Chordata; Lepidosauria; Squamata; Agamidae
Description: lncRNA (ENSPVIG00000017153.1)
Source: RNAcentral